Molecule: long non-coding RNA, 1115 nt
Filed under: Marmota monax (woodchuck)
Lineage: Eukaryota; Metazoa; Chordata; Mammalia; Rodentia; Sciuridae
Source: RNAcentral
UCUGAAGUCAGUUUUUGGAGCAGCAAAAGGAGCUGCAUAUUUUCUCAAAAUCCAUGAGGACUGGAAACUCCUUAUCUUGCGUGAGCUUUUCAACAGAUGGCCUAUGGUAACAUGUUGGCAAAAAACAACAACAAAAGACAAGAUUAAAAUGUAUGUUAAAGAUUUAUUUUUCUAAGAGGACUGGUGCUGAUGUUCUUCUUUCCAAAUAUGGAAAUCAGAUCAGGAUAAGCUUACAUGUACCCCAAUUGUCCUCUUUUAAUUUGUCAAGGUCUUUAAUACCCCUUCUCCUUCCCCACCCCCAGUUCCCUGGAAAAAGUCCUGAAUGGGAAGAAGGCAAUUAUCAGGGACUACAGUAGAUAUCCUUAUCCUUGAGAGACAGGUUCCAAGAUACUUACCAGUGAAUGCCUGAAGCCACACUAUUGAAUGCUCUCUGUAUUGUGUUUAUUUUUUCCUAUAUGUACCUGUUGACAAAAUUUAAUUUAUAAACUAGGCUCAAUAGAAGUUUAACAGUGCUAAUAAUAAAACAGAACAAUUAUAACAAUAUACUGUAAUAAAAGCUAUAGGGAUGUGCACUUUCUAUGCAUGUUCUACCACCCUACAAAUAUUCGUUCACUAUUUUCAGACCAAGGUUGACCUUGGGUAACUGAAACUAUCAAAAACCAAAACCAACCAUGGAUAAGGAGGAACCACUGUGCUAAUUCCCCAGAGAGAGCGGGGGGGGAAGCUUUGUAUUCCUGUCUCUCCUGAUACCACAAUUGAAAUCAUCCUUCAUUCUCCAGCCUGCCUGCUCAACCUCCGCCACCUCUGAGCUGCUGUCAUGCCUCAUCAAUGAGUGUUCUUCUAGGGAUAAGUCUUCUUUCAUUGGUACGAGGAAAUUCUUGGGUAAUUGUUAAACUGGAAAUUGCUUUAAAAAAAAAACCCUCCAGUCUAUCUUCUAUAACACUUUAAAAGUUAAGACUUACCAUUCACAUAAUCACAAGCUGACAGCAAUCUGCAGGUUGAGUGAAUCUGAUUUUUUCUCUUCCAGAAGCAGGUGGGUUGAUAUAAUGCCAGCCUAAAAUAGAAAGAUUUAUUUAUAGCUUCAGCAGAAUGAGAAAAGAGCUGGAUUAAUCAAG